RNAcentral lists this long non-coding RNA (245 nucleotides) under Mytilus galloprovincialis (Mediterranean mussel). The record is from RNAcentral. Lineage: Eukaryota; Metazoa; Mollusca; Bivalvia; Mytilida; Mytilidae.
GGGACAGUCAAACUCAUAAAUCUAAAACAAACUGACAACGCCAUGGCUAAAAAUGAAAAAGACAAACAGAAAAACAAUAGAACACAUGACACAACAUAGAAAACUAAAGAAUAAACAACACGAACCCCACCAAAAACUAGGGGUGAUCUCAGGUGCUCCGGAAGGGUAAGCAGAUCCUGCUCCACAUAUGGCACCCGUCGUGUUGCUUAUGUGAUUACAAAUCCGGUAAAUAGUCUAAUUCAAUA